Molecule: ribosomal RNA, 301 nt
Filed under: uncultured bacterium
Lineage: Bacteria
Description: partial 16S ribosomal RNA
Rfam family: Bacterial small subunit ribosomal RNA
Source: RNAcentral
CAGUAGCCGCGGGAAUACGUAGGUGGCAAGCGUUGUCCGGAAUUAUUGGGCGUAAAGCGCGCGCAGGUGGUUUAAUAAGUCUGAUGUGAAAGCCCACGGCUCAACCGUGGAGGGUCAUUGGAAACUGUUAAACUUGAGUGCAGGAGAGAAAAGUGGAAUUCCUAGUGUAGCGGUGAAAUGCGUAGAGAUUAGGAGGAACACCAGUGACGAAGGCGGCUUUUUGGCCUGUAACUGACACUGAGGCGCGAAAGCGUGGGGAGCAAACAGGAUUAGAUACCCCAGUAGUCCCUGUCUCUUAUAU